Molecule: small RNA, 169 nt
Filed under: Levilactobacillus paucivorans
Lineage: Bacteria; Bacillati; Bacillota; Bacilli; Lactobacillales; Lactobacillaceae
Description: Lactobacillus paucivorans Magnesium sequence
Rfam family: M-box riboswitch aptamer (ykoK leader)
About the family: M-box riboswitch, also know as ykoK leader is described as a metaloregulatory RNA that sense divalent metals and function as a genetic control element of genes related to divalent metal transport in bacteria. It was first reported upstream of the B.subtilis ykoK gene and genes with related functions in other bacteria. Phylogenetic analysis of the distribution of M-box RNAs across bacterial genomes revealed that M-box riboswitches are most often employed for the regulation of Mg2+ transporter genes
Source: RNAcentral
AUUAGAAGCUGUUAGGUGAGGCUCCUAUACGGAAAAUGCUACUGCUCAGAAACGUCGAGAAACGCCAAUGAGUCAGCUGUGCAGGUCAAAUUAAGGCCUGUUCUAAUGUAGCUGUUAUGAAUCUUUAACUACGCCGUAUAGUGCUAAAACUCAACGACUGGCGAAUUCU